CCUACGGGUGGCAGCAGUCGAGAAUCAUUCACAAUGGGGGAAACCCUGAUGGUGCGACGCCGCGUGGGGGAAUGAAGGCCUUCGGAUUGUAAACCCCUGUCAUGUGGGAGAAAAUUAAAAAGAUAGUACCACAAGAGGAAGAGACGGCUAACCCGGUGCCAGCAGCCGCGGUAAUACGGAGGUCGCAAGCGUUGUUCGGAAUCACUGGGGGUAAAGCGGGCGUAGGCUGUUUCGUAAGUCGUGUGUGAAAGGCGCGGGCUCAACCCGCGGACGGCACAUGAUACUGCGAGACUAGAGUGAAGGAGGGGGAGGCGGAAUUCUCGGUGUAGCAGUGAAAUGCGUAGAUAUCGAGAGGAACACUCGUGGCGAAGGCGGGUUCCUGGACAUUAACUGACGCUGAGGCACGAAGGCCAGGGGAGCGAAAGGGAUUAGAUACCCCUGUAGUC
RNAcentral lists this ribosomal RNA (446 nucleotides) under uncultured bacterium. Its description in RNAcentral is "partial 16S ribosomal RNA". It matches the Rfam family "Bacterial small subunit ribosomal RNA", at positions 338 to 795 of the family's 1533-position model. The record is from RNAcentral.